Molecule: ribosomal RNA, 119 nt
Filed under: Gadus morhua (Atlantic cod)
Lineage: Eukaryota; Metazoa; Chordata; Actinopteri; Gadiformes; Gadidae
Source: RNAcentral
GCUUACGGCCAUACCACCUUAGGCACGCCCGAUCUCGUCUGAUCUCGGAAGCUAAGCAGAGUCGGGCCUGGUUAGUACUUGGAUGGGUGACCGCCUGGGAAUACCUGGUGCUGUCAUUC